RNAcentral lists this ribosomal RNA (460 nucleotides) under uncultured bacterium. RNAcentral's name for it is "partial 16S ribosomal RNA". It matches the Rfam family "Bacterial small subunit ribosomal RNA", at positions 338 to 795 of the family's 1533-position model. The record is from RNAcentral.
CCUACGGGUGGCAGCAGUGAGGAAUAUUGGUCAAUGGGCUUACGCCUGAACCAGCCAAGUCGCGUGAGGGAAGACUGCCCUAUGGGUUGUAAACCUCUUUUGUCAGGGAGCAACGCCGGCUACGUGUAGCCGGACUGAGAGUACCUGAAGAAAAAGCAUCGGCUAACUCCGUGCCAGCAGCCGCGGUAAUACGGAGGAUGCGAGCGUUAUCCGGAUUUAUUGGGUUUAAGGGGUGCGUAGGCGGAAUGCCAAGUCAGCGGUAAAAUCGCGGGGCUCAACCUCGCUCCGCCGUUGAAACUGGCGUGCUUGAGUGGGCGAGAAGUAUGCGGAAUGAGUGGUGUAGCGGUGAAAUGCGUAGAUAUCAGGCAGAACUCCGAUUGCGAAGGCAGCAUACCGGCGCCCAACUGACGCUGAAGCACGAAAGCGUGGGUAUCGAAUAGGAUUAGAUACCCGAGUAGUC